UUUUCUCGUUCCCGUCUGCGCGCAGAACCCCCCUCCAUCUCUUUCAUCUGUCGCCCCCUCAUUCUCCAUCCGGCAGCCGCCGCCCCCUCCCCUUCCACCCAUCGCUGGCCGCCGGAACCAACCCCUCCAUCCGCAGGCCGACGGCGCCUCCCCCUCCACACUCCGGCCGACGGCGCCUCCACCUCCAUCCGCCGGUCGCCGCCGGCCACCGCUCCUCCUCUUCCACCCACAGCCGGCUGCCGGCGCCAACCCCUCCAAUCGCUGGCCGCCGGCGCCAACCUCUCGAUCCAUCGGCCACCGCCCAGCUAGCUACCGACCCCUCCCUCUCGGCUGCCGCUUUGUCGUCCUCCCGGCCGGCUGCUGCCCCGUCCCUCUCUCGGCUGGCUGGUGCCCCAUCCCCCUCCCGUCCGGCUGCUCAGCUGCUCCUCCACGUCCUCCUCCCGGAAGCAAAGGAGAGGGCAUGACAUGGUGAUGUUUCUUCUGAUGAUUCGUGCACCGAAUUAAGGAAGCAGAAGGCACGAGAUGGCAAUAUUUGAUGACAAUCGUAUUAGGAGGCGACAAAUCAACGGAGUACUUAGAAGUUUAUAUUCUAUCUAUUGCAAGCUAGUUAUAUUCACUGUUUAGAGGAUUUGAAACAGAUGCAAACUAGGUUAAUGUACAGGGGAUUUGCAAUGUCUACUACUUUUAGGAUUCUUCCUUGAAAUUUAUGUGCAUGUGAUGGGAAAAUGUGUGAACACUCAGAAUUCAAGUCAUAUAUGGUUCAUGUCCAA
Molecule: long non-coding RNA, 770 nt
Organism: Oryza brachyantha (malo sina)
Lineage: Eukaryota; Viridiplantae; Streptophyta; Magnoliopsida; Poales; Poaceae
Exons: 2
Source: RefSeq, a predicted model, not a curated record